CGGCGGGCUACCAUGCAGUCGAGCGAACCUUCGGGUUAGCGGCGGACGGGUGAGUAACGCGUGGGAACGUACCCUCUUCUGCGGGAUAGCCACUGGAAACGGUGAGUAAUACCGCAUACGCCCUUCGGGGGAAAGAUUUAUCGGAGGAGGAUCGGCCCGCGUUGGAUUAGGUAGUUGGUGGGGUAAUGGCCUACCAAGCCUACGAUCCAUAGCUGGUUUUAGAGGAUGAUCAGCCACACUGGGACUGAGACACGGCCCAGACUCCUACGGGAGGCAGCAGUGGGGAAUCUUAGACAAUGGGCGCAAGCCUGAUCUAGCCAUGCCGCGUGAGUGACGAAGGCCUUAGGGUCGUAAAGCUCUUUCGCCAGAGAUGAUAAUGACAGUAUCUGGUAAAGAAACCCCGGCUAACUCCGUGCCAGCAGCCGCGGUAAUACGGAGGGGGUUAGCGUUGUUCGGAAUUACUGGGCGUAAAGCGCACGUAGGCGGAUUGGAAAGUUGGGGGUGAAAUCCCAGGGCUCAACCCUGGAACUGCCUCCAAAACUCCCAGUCUGGAGUUCGAGAGAGGUGAGUGGAAUUCCGAGUGUAGAGGUGAAAUUCGUAGAUAUUCGGAGGAACACCAGUGGCGAAGGCGGCUCACUGGCUCGAUACUGACGCUGAGGU
RNAcentral lists this ribosomal RNA (660 nucleotides) under Roseovarius sp. RNAcentral describes it as "bacterial SSU rRNA". It matches the Rfam family "Bacterial small subunit ribosomal RNA", at positions 40 to 752 of the family's 1533-position model. The record is from RNAcentral. Lineage: Bacteria; Pseudomonadati; Pseudomonadota; Alphaproteobacteria; Rhodobacterales; Roseobacteraceae.